This 125-nucleotide small RNA is filed under the name Marmota monax (woodchuck). Lineage: Eukaryota; Metazoa; Chordata; Mammalia; Rodentia; Sciuridae. The record is from RNAcentral.
GCUGAGCAUGGUGGUGCACGCCUGUAAUCCCAGCAGCUCGGGAGGCUGAAACAGGAGGAUUGCAAGUUCAAAGCCAGUCUCAGCAACAAAGAGGCACUAAGCAACUCCGUGAGACCCUGUCUCUA